GUCUAUGGCCAUGCCACCCUGAACGUGUCCAAUCUCGUCUGAUCUCAAAAGCUAAGUAGGGUCGGGCCUGGUUAGUACUUGGAUGGGAGACCACCUAGGAAUACCAGGUGCUGUGGCGU
This 119-nucleotide ribosomal RNA is filed under the name Pteropus alecto (black flying fox). Lineage: Eukaryota; Metazoa; Chordata; Mammalia; Chiroptera; Pteropodidae. The record is from RNAcentral.